AUGGAGGGAGAACCAAACGUUGUUCUGUCUACUCUGCACAAUUUUCUUAUUCACUCUGCAGAUACUGCUUACCUGACCUGUGUUCAUUCAGAGAAGACUCUUGAUAGUAAAAAAGUCUCAUAUGAAGAAGAAUGUUCAAGAAGUGCCCUGGCCUCUCUGGACUCUGCUUUUCCAGUAGAGGAAGCUGAAAGAGGACUGUCAAGUUCUUGCAGUUCUAAAACCAUGGCCCAUGUAAGUUCAUGUUUCUCAUCCUUGAAUAUUAUUUUUGAAUUCAUGUGAUCAUUUUAUUACC
RNAcentral lists this long non-coding RNA (292 nucleotides) under Dasypus novemcinctus (nine-banded armadillo). RNAcentral's name for it is "lncRNA (ENSDNOG00000050942.1)". The record is from RNAcentral. Lineage: Eukaryota; Metazoa; Chordata; Mammalia; Cingulata; Dasypodidae.